GGAGAGUUGACAGAGUGGUAAUGUGCAGGCCUGCUAAGCUUUGGCUAUCCUUUUUUGGAUACGAAGGUUCGAUCCCUUCACUCUCCG
RNAcentral lists this transfer RNA (87 nucleotides) under Flavitalea plasmicola. RNAcentral's name for it is "Flavitalea sp. BT771 tRNA-Ser". It matches the Rfam family "tRNA". From Rfam's summary of the family: Transfer RNA (tRNA) molecules are approximately 80 nucleotides in length. Their secondary structure includes four short double-helical elements and three loops (D, anti-codon, and T loops). Further hydrogen bonds mediate the characteristic L-shaped molecular structure. tRNAs have two regions of fundamental functional importance: the anti-codon, which is responsible for specific mRNA codon recognition, and the 3' end, to which the tRNAs corresponding amino acid is attached (by aminoacyl-tRNA synthetases). tRNAs cope with the degeneracy of the genetic code in two manners: having more than one tRNA (with a specific anti-codon) for a particular amino acid; and 'wobble' base-pairing, i.e. permitting non-standard base-pairing at the 3rd anti-codon position. The record is from RNAcentral. Lineage: Bacteria; Pseudomonadati; Bacteroidota; Chitinophagia; Chitinophagales; Chitinophagaceae.